ACUUUCAACAACGGAUCUCUUGGUUCUCGCAUCGAUGAAGAACGCAGCGAAAUGCGAUACGUAAUGUGAAUUGCAGAAUUCCGUGAAUCAUCGAAUCUUUGAACGCACAUUGCGCCCUCUGGUAUUCCAGGGGGCAUGCCUGUUUGAGCGUCAUUUCCUUCUCAAACAGCAAUGUUUGGUUGUGAGUGAUACUCUUUCGGAGUUAGCUUGAAAUUGCUGGCCGAUGGCUGUUGUGGUUGAGUGUCUCCCUUCGGGGAGAGCGCUUGCUGCGUUAAGGGACGUCCUGCUGGACAUCUUCGUAUUAGGUUCUACCAACUUCGAAGACGGUUAGCGGGGAGUUCUGCAGUGAGUGUAGUGCUUUUACUACGUUGCACCAUGGCGAACAGUGUUCUUUUAAGUUUGACCUCAAAUCAGGUAGGAUUACCCGCUGAACUUAAGCAUAUCAAUAAGCGGAGGAAAAGAAACCAACCGGGAUUGCCUUAGUAACGGCGAGUGAAGCGGCAAAAGCUCAAAUUUGAAAUCUAGUACCUUCGGUGCUCGAGUUGUAAUUUGUAGAGGGAUACUUUGGGGCCGUUCCUUGUCUAUGUUCCUUGGAACAGGACGUCAUAGAGGGUGAGAAUCCCGUGUGGCGAGGAGUGCGGUUCUAUGUAAAGUGCCUUCGAAGAGUCGAGUUGUUUGGGAAUGCAGCUCUAAGUGGGUGGUAAAUUCCAUCUAAAGCUAAAUAUUGGCGAGAGACCGAUAGCGAACAAGUACAGUGAUGGAAAGAUGAAAAGAACUUUGAAAAGAGAGUGAAAAGUACGUGAAAUUGUUGAAAGGGAAGGGCAUUUGAUCAGACAUGGUGUUUUGCGCCCUCUGCUCCUUGUGGGUGGGGGACUCUCGCAGCUCACUGGGCCAACAUCAGUUUUGGUGGUCGGACAAAUCCGUAGGAAUGUAGCUUACCUCGGUAAGUGUUAUAGCCUGCGGGAAUACGGCCAGCCGGGACUGAGGACUGCGACUUUUGUCAAGGAUGUUGGCAUAAUGGUUAUAUGCCGCCCGUCUUGAAACACGGACCAAGGAGUCUAACGUCUAUGCGAGUGUUUGGGUGUAAAACCCGUACGCGUAAUGAAAGUGAACGUAGGUUGGGGCCCUCUCGGGGGUGCACAAUCGACCGAUCCUGAUGUUUUCAGAUGGAUUUGAGUAAGAGCAUAGCUGUUGGGACCCGAAAGAUGGUGAACUAUGCCUGAAUAGGGUGAAGCCAGAGGAAACUCUGGUGGAGGCUCGUAGCGGUUCUGACGUGCAAAUCGAUCGUCGAAUUUGGGUAUAGGGGCGAAAGACUAAUCGAACCAUCUAGUAGCUGGUUCCUGCCGAAGUUUCCCUCAGGAUAGCAGAAGCUCGUAUCAGUUUUAUGAGGUAAAGCGAAUGAUUAGAGGUUCCGGGGUCGAAAUGACCUUGACCUAUUCUCAAACUUUAAAUAUGUAAGAAGUCCUUGUUACUUAAUUGAACGUGGACAUUUGAAUGAAGAGCUUUUAGUGGGCCAUUUUUGGUAAGCAGAACUGGCGAUGCGGGAUGAACCGAACGUGGAGUUAAGGUGCUGGAAUACACGCUUAUCAGACACCACAAAAGGUGUUAGUUCAUCUAGACAGCCGGACGGUGGCCAUGGAAGUCGGAAUCCGCUAAGGAGUGUGUAACAACUCACCGGCCGAAUGAACUAGCCCUGAAAAUGGAUAGCGCUCAAGCGUGUUACCUAUACUCCACCGUCAGGGUUGAUUUAUGCCCUGACGAGUAGGCAGGCGUGGAGGUCAGUGACGAAGCCUAGGGUGUGAACCCGGGUCGAACGGCCUCUAGUGCAGAUCUUGGUAGUAGCAAAAUUCAAAUGAGAACUUUGAAGACUGAAGUGGGGAAAGGUUCCACGUCAACAGCAGUUGGACGUGGGUUAGUCGAUCCUAAGAGAUAGGGAAACUCCGUUUCAAUGCGUCUGAUUUUACAGACCACUAUCGAAAGGGAAUCCGGUUAAGAUUCCGGAACCUGGAUAUGGAUUCUUCACGGUAACGUAACUGAAUGUGGAGACGUCGGCACAAGCCCUGGGAGGAGUUAU
RNAcentral lists this ribosomal RNA (2074 nucleotides) under Monosporozyma servazzii. RNAcentral's name for it is "eukaryotic LSU rRNA". The stretch from base 401 to 2074 matches the Rfam family "Eukaryotic large subunit ribosomal RNA", at positions 1 to 1693 of the family's 3401-position model. Lineage: Eukaryota; Fungi; Ascomycota; Saccharomycetes; Saccharomycetales; Saccharomycetaceae. The record is from RNAcentral.